AAACAAGAGAGAGAUGAUAAUGACAGAAAAUGGGGAGAUAGAGAGUGAAGAAGAGAGGGAAGAAAUGCAAGAAAAUGAGAGUGAUGGAGAUGAAGAGUAUGAGGCUGAGGGGCGUGAGGCUAGUGCAUUGGUGACCAUGCGCAUCUUAGCUACCCAAGCUAAGGUAGAGGAAAAUGAAGACUUGAUCCAAAGGAAAAAUAUUUUUCACACUAGGUGCAAGGUGAGGGACAAGCAUUGCAGUGUGAUUGUUGAUAGUGGGAGCUGUUGUAAUGUGGCAAGUUAGCUAAUGGUGGAAAAAUUAGGGCUGCCCACAUUCAA
RNAcentral lists this unclassified non-coding RNA (318 nucleotides) under Hevea brasiliensis (rubber tree). Lineage: Eukaryota; Viridiplantae; Streptophyta; Magnoliopsida; Malpighiales; Euphorbiaceae. The record is from RNAcentral.